Molecule: long non-coding RNA, 993 nt
Filed under: Mus caroli (Ryukyu mouse)
Lineage: Eukaryota; Metazoa; Chordata; Mammalia; Rodentia; Muridae
Description: lncRNA (MGP_CAROLIEiJ_G0003747.1)
Source: RNAcentral
AAAAGAAAAAAGAGAAACGGUGGCGUCAGUCUAGAAUCCCAGAUCUACAGCUGUCCACAGGAUAGCUUCCUUGUGCUUCUCCAAACAUAAUUUUUAAGAAAUGCAAGAAUGUCCAGAAUGCAAAGCUGGGACGGCUUUUCCAGCAGCUCGGGGAUCUGAAGCCCCUUCUCGACAAGAGUCCUUCUUCAAGCCCAGCCUCAGCAGAGGUUCUCGGAGCUGUCUCUCCUCCAAAGGAUGAGGUCAGCUUCCUGUGUGUGCUUGUUCUCUCUCUCUCUCUCUCUCUCUCUCUCUCUCUCUCUCUCUCUCUCUCUCUCUCGUGUGUGUGUAUGUGUGUGUAAGCUGUUGGAUCACAUGUAGACUAUUCGUAAUCCAGCACACUGUGGGAUUGCAGCUCCCAAUACUAUUAAAGAAGCAACAAAUGAACAGGCAUCAUUUUUUGAACUCAGAAUCCAUUGAUACAAUGAAACCAAGGACAGUUGGGUUUGUUACUAAACUGUGUGUAAUCUUGUUUGUGUUUAACUUUUAUUUCUGUCUCCCUGAUUACAGACAGCCAGUGUUAAUCGUCAAGCGUUUCUGUUUUACAUGGAUUACAGAGACACAAAUGGUUGGAUGACGACAAUUUGCCCCUUCCAUGAAAAUUGCAGAGCUAGGCCAAGGAGCAGCCCUACUAAGUGCUACUUAGUGAGGAGGGAAAUGAACUUUUUAAGAAUCCCUCGUGACUUUUAGCUCAACCAAAUUUUAUCAUUGCUUGUAAAACCUUCAAAAUCAAGUUUCACCCCUUAAAAUUCUCCACCACUUAUCCCAAAUAGUAUAUUCAGUCAGACUACCCAGAUGAAGUUUGAUAUGCAAACAAUGUUUAGGAUGUAAAUUUUGCUGGGGAAAUACGAGAGAGAGAGAGAGAGAGAGAGAGAGAGAGAGAGAGAGAGAGAGAGAGAAGAGAGCACACGAGCAGUUUUUGACAUGUUUGAAUCUCUAGGAUCAAUAUCCAGCACU